RNAcentral lists this antisense RNA (177 nucleotides) under Carica papaya (papaya). RNAcentral's name for it is "Antisense RNA which regulates isiA expression". It matches the Rfam family "Antisense RNA which regulates isiA expression". Lineage: Eukaryota; Viridiplantae; Streptophyta; Magnoliopsida; Brassicales; Caricaceae. The record is from Rfam by way of RNAcentral.
AAUAACCAAAUAUAACACUUGGGCUAAGAGUCAAGUUGGUAAUUUUUGUAACAUCUCCCCUCCGGGAGCCCAGGUAUCAUAUACAUCUCCAAAAUAAAGAGUCUUGAAUACUAGAAGAAUACCUAACAAAAUUAAGUGAAUACCCAAAAUUGUGGUUAUUUUAUUUAUAUCUUUCCA